Molecule: ribosomal RNA, 291 nt
Filed under: Triticum aestivum (bread wheat)
Lineage: Eukaryota; Viridiplantae; Streptophyta; Magnoliopsida; Poales; Poaceae
Description: partial small subunit ribosomal RNA
Source: RNAcentral
AUGGGUAUCGUCAAUGAGUUGUGGAUAGGAGUCACCCAAGCCAGGGACAAAUUGAGGAAGGCCAUCUCAUCCAUAAUUAUGUUGAUCUCGUGGGAGCUAUGGAAGGAGCGCAAUGCUGGGGUCUUCCGCAACACUGUGAAGCCCUCUACGAUUGUGGUGCGUAACAUCAAAGAGGAAAUUAGAUUGUGGGUGCUCGCGGGCGCUAAGCAUGUGAGUUUUGUAAUGUCGCGAGAGUCAUGGUCUAUUCUUGCCUUCUGUUGGGCGCUAUUUCAAACUCUUUCUCUUAAUUAA